Molecule: small nucleolar RNA, 74 nt
Organism: Cinclus cinclus
Lineage: Eukaryota; Metazoa; Chordata; Aves; Passeriformes; Cinclidae
Product: small nucleolar RNA SNORD34
Exons: 1
Source: RefSeq, a predicted model, not a curated record
UGGUGUCUAUGAUGUCAUUUUUACCUACAUUGUUUGACUUUUCUUGAGAAAAAACCCCAAAUUCUGAGACACUU